Molecule: ribosomal RNA, 397 nt
Filed under: uncultured bacterium
Lineage: Bacteria
Description: partial 16S ribosomal RNA
Rfam family: Bacterial small subunit ribosomal RNA
Source: RNAcentral
AUACGUAGGGGGCGAGCGUUGUCCGGAAUGAUUGGGCGUAAAGGGCGCGUAGGCGGCCCGGUAAGUCUGGAGUGAAAGUCCUGUUUUUAAGAUGGGAAUUGCUUUGGAUACUGUCGGGCUUGAGUGCAGGAGAGGUAAGUGGAAUUCCCAGUGUAGCGGUGAAAUGCGUAGAGAUUGGGAGGAACACCAGUGGCGAAGGCGACUUACUGGACUGUAACUGACGCUGAGGCGCGAAAGUGUUGGGAGCAAACAGGAGUAGAUACCCUGGUAGUCCACACUGUAAACGAUGAAUGCUAGGUGUAGGGGGUAUCGACCCCUUCUGUGCCGCAGUCAACACAAUAAGCAUUCCGCCUGGGGAGUACGGCCGCAAGGUUGAAACUCAAAGGAAUUGACGGGG